UGUAACCUACCUAUAACAGGGGCAUAACACUGAGAAAUUGGUACUAAUUCCCCAUAAUAUUCGGAGAGGCAUCUCUCCGGGUUGAAAACUCCGGUGGUUAUAGAUGGACAUGCGUUGUAUUAGCUAGUUGGUGAGGUAACGGCUCACCAAGGCAACGAUACAUAGGGGGACUGAGAGGUUAACCCCCCACACUGGUACUGAGACACGGACCAGACUCCUACGGGAGGCAGCAUG
Molecule: ribosomal RNA, 234 nt
Filed under: uncultured bacterium
Lineage: Bacteria
Description: partial 16S ribosomal RNA
Rfam family: Bacterial small subunit ribosomal RNA
Source: RNAcentral